This is an RNA transcript of Octodon degus (degu), 785 nucleotides long. It is a transcript of the gene named NEDD8-conjugating enzyme UBE2F pseudogene, with no coding region annotated. The record is from RefSeq and is a predicted model, not a curated record. The transcript has a single exon. Lineage: Eukaryota; Metazoa; Chordata; Mammalia; Rodentia; Octodontidae.
GCCGCCUGGCGGGGCACGGUGUUGGGCGCCAGCCCGCCUCGCUGUCUCGGGGUGCCCAGCUAAGUCGGCAGUAAUGCUAACACUGGCAAAGCGGGAUGAUGGUCUCAAAGGGUCCCGGACGCCAGCCGCCUCGACUGACUCCACGCGAAGGGUGUCUGUGAGAGACAAGUUGCUAGUUAAAGAGGUUGCAGAACUUGAAGCUAAUUUACCUUGUACAUGUAAAGUGCAUUUUCCUGAUCCAAACAAGCUACACUGCUUUCAGCUAACCGUAACCCCAGAUGAGGGUUACUACCAGGGUGGAAAAUUUCAGUUUGAAACUGAAGUUCCUGAUGCAUACAACAUGGUGCCUCCCAAAGUGAAGUGCUUGACCAGGAUCUGGCAUCCCAACAUCACAGAGACAGGGGAGAUCUGUCUCAGCUUACUGAGAGAACACUCGAUCGAUGGCACUGGCUGGGCUCCCACGAGAAUGCUGAAGGAUGUUGUUUGGGGGUUGAACUCUUUAUUCACUGAUCUUUUGAAUUUUGAUGAUCCACUGAAUAUCGAAGCUGCAGAACAUCACUUGCGGGACAAGGAGGACUUCCGGAACAAAGUGGACGACUACAUCAAGCGCUACGCCAGAUGAUGAGAGGAGCACACUGUGGCCAGGGACCCCGCGGGCCGCCUCCCGUCCUCGCGCCCCUCAGCCCCGUGGGCUGUCCCUGUCCUGCGGCUGCCCUGCCCUGGCGAAGACAUCCUCCUGACUGCCCACUGUAGCUGGAGAGUGCAGCAUAAAUACAGCAGGAAAG